GGAAUAUUGGACAAUGGGGGAAACCCUGAUCCAGCCAUGCCGCGUGUGUGAAGAAGGCCUUUUGGUUGUAAAGCACUUUAAGCAGUGAAGAAGACUCUUCGGUUAAUACCCGGAGACGAUGACAUUAGCUGCAGAAUAAGCACCGGCUAACUCUGUGCCAGCAGCCGCGGUAAUACAGAGGGUGCAAGCGUUAAUCGGAAUUACUGGGCGUAAAGCGAGCGUAGGUGGCUUGAUAAGUCAGAUGUGAAAUCCCCGGGCUUAACCUGGGAACUGCAUCUGAUACUGUCAGGCUAGAGUAGGUGAGAGGAAGGUAGAAUUCCAGGUGUAGCGGUGAAAUGCGUAGAGAUCUGGAGGAAUACCGAUGGCGAAGGCAGCCUUCUGGCAUCAUACUGACACUGAGGCUCGAAAGCGUGGGUAGCAAACAGGAUUAGAUACCCCUG
RNAcentral lists this ribosomal RNA (440 nucleotides) under uncultured Psychrobacter sp. RNAcentral's name for it is "bacterial SSU rRNA". It matches the Rfam family "Bacterial small subunit ribosomal RNA", at positions 358 to 789 of the family's 1533-position model. The record is from RNAcentral. Lineage: Bacteria; Pseudomonadati; Pseudomonadota; Gammaproteobacteria; Moraxellales; Moraxellaceae.